GACGAACGCUGGCGGCGUGCUUAACACAUGCAAGUCGAGCGGUAAGGCCCUUUCGGGGGUACGACGAGCGGCGAACGGGUGAGUAACACGUGGGUGACCUGCCCUCAGCUCUGGGAUAAGCCUGGGAAACCGGGUCUAAUACCGGAUAUGACUCCAUGACGCAUGUUGUGGGGUGGAAAGCCUUGUGCGGCUGAGGAUGGGCCCGCGGCCUACCAGCUUGUUGGUGGGGUGAUGGCCACCAAGGCGACGACGGGUAGCCGGCCUGAGAGGGCGACCGGCCACACUGGGACUGAGACACGGCCCAGACUCCUACGGGAGGCAGCAGUGGGGAAUCUUGCGCAAUGGGCGAAAGCCUGACGCAGCGACGCCGCGUGAGGGGUGACGGCCU
RNAcentral lists this ribosomal RNA (388 nucleotides) under uncultured bacterium. Its description in RNAcentral is "bacterial SSU rRNA". It matches the Rfam family "Bacterial small subunit ribosomal RNA", at positions 28 to 417 of the family's 1533-position model. The record is from RNAcentral.